This 358-nucleotide unclassified non-coding RNA is filed under the name soil metagenome. RNAcentral's name for it is "partial contains 5.8S ribosomal RNA, internal transcribed spacer 2, and large subunit ribosomal RNA". The stretch from base 1 to 120 matches the Rfam family "5.8S ribosomal RNA", at positions 35 to 154 of the family's 154-position model. The record is from RNAcentral.
GAUGAAGAACGUAGUGAAAUGCGAUAAGUAAUGUGAAUUGCAGAAUUCAGUGAAUCAUCGAAUCUUUGAACGCACAUUGCGCCCGUCAGUAUUCUGGCGGGCAUGCCUGUUCGAGCGUCAUUACGCCCCUCAAGUCCCCUGUGGACUUGGUGUUGGGGAUCGGCGAGGCUGGUUUUCCAGCACAGCCGUCCCUUAAAUUAAUUGACGGUCUCGCCGUGGCCCUCCUCUGCGCAGUAGUAAAACACUCGCAACAGGAGCCCGGCGCGGUCCACUGCCGUAAAACCCCCCAACUUUUUAUAGUUGACCUCGAAUCAGGUAGGACUACCCGCUGAACUUAAGCAUAUCAAUAAGCGGAGGA